AGUGAACGCUGGCGGUAGGCCUAACACAUGCAAGUCGAACGGCAGCACAGUGAGAGCUUGCUCUUACGGGUGGCGAGUGGCGGACGGGUGAGGAAUACAUCGGAAUCUACUUUUUCGUGGGGGAUAACGUAGGGAAACUUACGCUAAUACCGCAUACGACCUACGGGUGAAAGCAGGGGAUCUUCGGACCUUGCGCGAUUGAAUGAGCCGAUGUCGGAUUAGCUAGUUGGCGGGGUAAAGGCCCACCAAGGCGACGAUCCGUAGCUGGUCUGAGAGGAUGAUCAGCCACACUGGAACUGAGACACGGUCCAGACUCCUACGGGAGGCAGCAGUGGGGAGUAUUGGACAAUGGGCGCAAGCCUGAUCCAGCCAUACCGCGUGGGUGAAGAAGGCCUUCGGGUUGUAAAGCCCUUUUGUUGGGAAAGAAAAGCAGCAGGUUAAUACCCCGCUGUUCUGACGGUACCCAAAGAAUAAGCACCGGCUAACUUCGUG
Molecule: ribosomal RNA, 492 nt
Filed under: uncultured bacterium
Lineage: Bacteria
Description: partial 16S ribosomal RNA
Rfam family: Bacterial small subunit ribosomal RNA
Source: RNAcentral